GUUAAUAAACUGAUGACUGAAACAGGCCCGCACUCCUACUUUCAGAGCAAAGCAAUUUUAUCAGACUCUCUGGGGGAAGAGGGAGCAGACACUGCAUUUUCCUUUUUUAAAUUUCUUUCUCUUUUUUAGGCUAGUCAAAUGAAGCAGUGGGAUAUGCUGCAUUUUCAAAAAGCCUUCCCAGGAGACUGCAGUGUUUGUGCUGGGUCGAGAAUCACAAAAAACCAAAAGAAUAUUUAAUAUCUCUAUUGGAACGACUGAGAAUUGCAAAAGUAACAGGCGUGGCGUUUCCUUUCUUUAUGGAUAACUCUAACAUUGUGGCUAUGUUUGAGAUGAUGGACUCCUCAGGCAGAGGCACCAUAUCAUUUGUGCAGUAUAAAGAAGCCCUAAAAACCCUGGGUCUAUGCACUGAAGAUGAAGAUUUACAAGAUGAUGGACAUAAAAUAACUUUGGAUAAAUUCAAGGAGGAAGUAUGUAUACAUCCAGCUUCUCUACAAGCAUUUGCCAGAAAAUUUUAAAUAAGGAGAAACAAAGCUGCUGCUCCAACUGAAGUAAAUGGUCUCGUAACGUCAGCAGCAACGGGCAAGCCGAACUGGACAGGGACAUCACUGCCUGCUCUGACUGAGAUGGCAAGGACAACCAUCUGGAAAAAACACAUUUUUACCAAAAAAUUUUCAUCAGUUUCUAUUUUUCAAGUUUUUAAAUCAUUUUAAAUUUGAGGAAGUGUUCUGUCCUAGGGCAUAUUGGAUAAGAAAAAAUAUACAGCCUAACAUUAAAAGCUCUAUCAGAAAAUAAAUGUA
Molecule: small RNA, 797 nt
Filed under: Pan troglodytes (chimpanzee)
Lineage: Eukaryota; Metazoa; Chordata; Mammalia; Primates; Hominidae
Description: processed transcript
Source: RNAcentral